CAGGCUGGAGUGCAAUGGCGAGAUCUUGGCUCACUGCAACCUCUGCCUCCCUGGUUCAAGCGAUCCUCCUGCCUCAGCCUCCUGAGUAGCUGGGAUUACAGGCUGUCACUCUGUCACCCAGGCUGGAGUGCAGUGGUUAUCCAUGCUCACUGCAGCCUCAACCUCCUGGGCUCAAGCAAUCCUCCCGCCUCAGCCUCUCAAGUAGCUGGACUGCAGGUGUGCACCACCAUGCCAGAAUAAUGAAAACAAUUUUUUUUAUUUUUAUUUUUUGUAGAGAUAGGGGUCUCACUCUGUUGCCCAGGCUGGUCUUGAACUCCUGGGCUCAAGCAAUCUGCCUGCUUUGGCCUCCCAGAAUGUUGAGAUUACAGGCGUGAGCCACCACGCCUGGCCACUGCUGCAGAUCACUUUACCCAAGUAUCACUCUACAUGUUCUGGGGGUGGGGCCCAUGACACUGUGCUUAUGGAACAAUGCGGAGGAUUGGUUUCCAGAGAGUCGCAGUUUGCCUAAAGCCUGACAGCCAGGACUCCAGUUCAGGCCCUUGCGUGCAAAUGCAGUGAUAGCUUCUGUCGCGGCAGGGAGAAGGGAGAGGUUCUUUCUGGUGAGAAAAAAUAGGAGCUGGCAUCUGAGCCAGCCUUAGAAGGAUGAACUGGAGAACUGGAGGCGGAACACUGCAGACUCUGAAACAGGCCUGGGAAGGAGUUUGCUCUGUCCUUUCAUGUCAAAAUCCACUGGACUGACCCACACUAACUGACUACUGGAAAGGUUCCAGGCUUUGUGCUGGGCCCAGGGGCCACAAAGUAAGCAAGAGAGCCAUCGUCCCUGCCCUCAUGGAGCUCCAGCCCAAGGGACAGCAGCUUAUCCUACGCCAAGGGGCUCCUCUCAAAAUUCCCACAGCAGUAGUGAUCUAAGGACCUGGGCAGGGGCACUGGACUUCAAGUCUCAGCCUCUGGAUGUAGCAGAAGCGACGCUGUGUGAGUUCCCAGGCUGAGGCUGCAGAGAUUUGAGGCAUCUUCUCUCACCCAGCUUGAAGUCCUUCCCCUUGGAAGCCAGUCACCGUGAAAAAACUCACCAUGCUGUGAGGAAGCCCAAGAGAGCUGCAUGGAGAGAAGGGCCUGUGGAAGAGCUCUGAGGUGCCACUCACAUGAAGUGAGCCUUUGUGGACCUUCCAGCCCAGCCACCAGCAAACACAACCCAGCAAGAGGCCUGGGGAGCCUGCUCACCCCUUCCACCACGUGAGGACAAGGCUAUAAGGCAUCUAUGAGGAAACGGCCCUCAUCAGACACCGAAUCUGCAGGCACAUUCAUCUUGGAUUUCCCAGCCUCCAGAACUGUGA
This 1334-nucleotide long non-coding RNA is filed under the name Homo sapiens (human). RNAcentral's name for it is "HSALNT0405142". The record is from RNAcentral. Lineage: Eukaryota; Metazoa; Chordata; Mammalia; Primates; Hominidae.